GAGUAAUGUAUAGGAAUCUACCUAGUAGUACGGAAUAAUUGUUGGAAACGGCAACUAAUACCGUAUACGCCCUACGGGGGAAAGAUUUAUCGCUAUUAGAUGAGCCUAUAUUAGAUUAGCUAGUUGGUAAGGUAAUGGCUUACCAAGGCAAUGAUCUAUAGCUGAUCUGAGGGGAUGAUCAGCCACACUGGAGCUGAGAUACGGUCCAGACUCCUACGGGAGGCAGCAGUGGGGAAUAUUGGACAAUGGGGGAAAGCCUGAUCCAGCCAUGCCGCAUGAGUGAAGAAGGCCUUUGGGUUAUAAAGCUCUUUCGGUGAGGAAGAUAAUGACGGUACUCACAGAAGAAGUCCUGGCUAACUCCGUGCCAGCAGCCGCGGUAAUACGGAGAGGGCUAGCGUUAUUCGGAAUUNUUGGGCGUAAAGGGCGCGUAGGCGGAUUANUNAGUUAAAAGUGAAAUCCAAAGCUCAACUUUGGANNUGCUUUUAAAACUGCUAACCUAGANAUUGAAAGAGGAUAGAGGANNUCCUAGUGUAGAGGUGAAAUUC
This 545-nucleotide ribosomal RNA is filed under the name uncultured Wolbachia sp. RNAcentral describes it as "bacterial SSU rRNA". It matches the Rfam family "Bacterial small subunit ribosomal RNA", at positions 108 to 689 of the family's 1533-position model. The record is from RNAcentral. Lineage: Bacteria; Pseudomonadati; Pseudomonadota; Alphaproteobacteria; Rickettsiales; Anaplasmataceae.